Molecule: ribosomal RNA, 255 nt
Filed under: uncultured bacterium
Lineage: Bacteria
Description: partial 16S ribosomal RNA
Rfam family: Bacterial small subunit ribosomal RNA
Source: RNAcentral
UACGGAGGGAGCUAGCGUUGUUCGGAAUUACUGGGCGUAAAGCGCACGUAGGCGGCUUUUUAAGUCAGGGUGAAAUCCCGGGGCUCAACCCCGGAACUGCCCUUGAAACUGGAGAGCUAGAAUCUUGGAGAGGCGAGUGGAAUUCCGAGUGUAGAGGUGAAAUUCGUAGAUAUUCGGAAGAAACACCAGUGGCGAAGGCGACUCGCUGGACAAGUAUUGACGCUGAGGUGCGAAAGCGUGGGGAGACAAAGCAGG